This 576-nucleotide ribosomal RNA is filed under the name uncultured bacterium. RNAcentral's name for it is "bacterial SSU rRNA". It matches the Rfam family "Bacterial small subunit ribosomal RNA", at positions 338 to 916 of the family's 1533-position model. The record is from RNAcentral.
CCUACGGGAGGCAGCAGUGAGGAAUAUUGGACAAUGGGCGCAAGCCUGAUCCAGCCAUGCCGCGUGCAGGAAGACGGUCCUAUGGAUUGUAAACUGCUUUUAUACAGGAAGAAACACCUCUACGUGUAGAGACUUGACGGUACUGUAUGAAUAAGCAUCGGCUAACUCCGUGCCAGCAGCCGCGGUAAUACGGAGGAUGCAAGCGUUAUCCGGAAUCAUUGGGUUUAAAGGGUCCGUAGGCGGUUUAAUAAGUCAGUGGUGAAAGCCCAUCGCUCAACGAUGGAACGGCCAUUGAUACUGUUAAACUUGAAUUAUCAGGAAGUAACUAGAAUAUGUAGUGUAGCGGUGAAAUGCUUAGAGAUUACAUGGAAUACCAAUUGCGAAGGCAGGUUACUACUAAUAUAUUGACGCUGAUGGACGAAAGCGUGGGGAGCGAACAGGAUUAGAUACCCUGGUAGUCCACGCCGUAAACGAUGGAUACUAGCUGUUCGGAGCAAUCUGAGUGGCUAAGCGAAAGUGAUAAGUAUCCCACCUGGGGAGUACGUUCGCAAGAAUGAAACUUAAAGGAAUUGACGG